RNAcentral lists this ribosomal RNA (253 nucleotides) under uncultured bacterium. Its description in RNAcentral is "partial 16S ribosomal RNA". It matches the Rfam family "Bacterial small subunit ribosomal RNA", at positions 524 to 776 of the family's 1533-position model. The record is from RNAcentral.
UACGGAGGGGGCUAGCGUUAUUCGGAUUCAUUGGGCGUAAAGGGUGCGUAGGCGGCGCGGUAAGUCGGGUGUGAAAUCUCGGGGCUUAACUCCGAAACUGCAUUCGAUACUGCCGUGCUUGAGGACUGGAGAGGAGACUGGAAUUUACGGUGUAGCGGUGAAAUGCGUAGAUAUCGUAAGGAAGACCAGUGGCGAAGGCGGGUCUCUGGGCCGAUACUGACGCUGAGGAGCGAAAGCGUGGGGAGCGAACAGG